RNAcentral lists this ribosomal RNA (791 nucleotides) under Streptomyces sp. RNAcentral's name for it is "bacterial SSU rRNA". It matches the Rfam family "Bacterial small subunit ribosomal RNA", at positions 67 to 873 of the family's 1533-position model. Lineage: Bacteria; Bacillati; Actinomycetota; Actinomycetes; Kitasatosporales; Streptomycetaceae. The record is from RNAcentral.
CGAUGAACCACUUCGGUGGGGAUUAGUGGCGAACGGGUGAGUAACACGUGGGCAAUCUGCCCUGCACUCUGGGACAAGCCCUGGAAACGGGGUCUAAUACCGGAUACGACCGUCUUGGGCAUCCUUGACGGUGGAAAGCUCCGGCGGUGCAGGAUGAGCCCGCGGCCUAUCAGCUUGUUGGUGAGGUAACGGCUCACCAAGGCGACGACGGGUAGCCGGCCUGAGAGGGCGACCGGCCACACUGGGACUGAGACACGGCCCAGACUCCUACGGGAGGCAGCAGUGGGGAAUAUUGCACAAUGGGCGCAAGCCUGAUGCAGCGACGCCGCGUGAGGGAUGACGGCCUUCGGGUUGUAAACCUCUUUCAGCAGGGAAGAAGCGAAAGUGACGGUACCUGCAGAAGAAGCGCCGGCUAACUACGUGCCAGCAGCCGCGGUAAUACGUAGGGCGCGAGCGUUGUCCGGAAUUAUUGGGCGUAAAGAGCUCGUAGGCGGCUUGUCGCGUCGGUUGUGAAAGCCCGGGGCUUAACCCCGGGUCUGCAGUCGAUACGGGCAGGCUAGAGUUCGGUAGGGGAGAUCGGAAUUCCUGGUGUAGCGGUGAAAUGCGCAGAUAUCAGGAGGAACACCGGUGGCGAAGGCGGAUCUCUGGGCCGAUACUGACGCUGAGGAGCGAAAGCGUGGGGAGCGAACAGGAUUAGAUACCCUGGUAGUCCACGCCGUAAACGGUGGGCACUAGGUGUGGGCGACAUUCCACGUCGUCCGUGCCGCAGCUAACGCAUUAAGUGCCCCGCC